This 1542-nucleotide ribosomal RNA is filed under the name Salmonella enterica subsp. enterica serovar Typhimurium str. STm10. RNAcentral's name for it is "bacterial SSU rRNA". It matches the Rfam family "Bacterial small subunit ribosomal RNA". The record is from RNAcentral. Lineage: Bacteria; Pseudomonadati; Pseudomonadota; Gammaproteobacteria; Enterobacterales; Enterobacteriaceae.
AAAUUGAAGAGUUUGAUCAUGGCUCAGAUUGAACGCUGGCGGCAGGCCUAACACAUGCAAGUCGAACGGUAACAGGAAGCAGCUUGCUGCUUCGCUGACGAGUGGCGGACGGGUGAGUAAUGUCUGGGAAACUGCCUGAUGGAGGGGGAUAACUACUGGAAACGGUGGCUAAUACCGCAUAACGUCGCAAGACCAAAGAGGGGGACCUUCGGGCCUCUUGCCAUCAGAUGUGCCCAGAUGGGAUUAGCUUGUUGGUGAGGUAACGGCUCACCAAGGCGACGAUCCCUAGCUGGUCUGAGAGGAUGACCAGCCACACUGGAACUGAGACACGGUCCAGACUCCUACGGGAGGCAGCAGUGGGGAAUAUUGCACAAUGGGCGCAAGCCUGAUGCAGCCAUGCCGCGUGUAUGAAGAAGGCCUUCGGGUUGUAAAGUACUUUCAGCGGGGAGGAAGGUGUUGUGGUUAAUAACCGCAGCAAUUGACGUUACCCGCAGAAGAAGCACCGGCUAACUCCGUGCCAGCAGCCGCGGUAAUACGGAGGGUGCAAGCGUUAAUCGGAAUUACUGGGCGUAAAGCGCACGCAGGCGGUCUGUCAAGUCGGAUGUGAAAUCCCCGGGCUCAACCUGGGAACUGCAUUCGAAACUGGCAGGCUUGAGUCUUGUAGAGGGGGGUAGAAUUCCAGGUGUAGCGGUGAAAUGCGUAGAGAUCUGGAGGAAUACCGGUGGCGAAGGCGGCCCCCUGGACAAAGACUGACGCUCAGGUGCGAAAGCGUGGGGAGCAAACAGGAUUAGAUACCCUGGUAGUCCACGCCGUAAACGAUGUCUACUUGGAGGUUGUGCCCUUGAGGCGUGGCUUCCGGAGCUAACGCGUUAAGUAGACCGCCUGGGGAGUACGGCCGCAAGGUUAAAACUCAAAUGAAUUGACGGGGGCCCGCACAAGCGGUGGAGCAUGUGGUUUAAUUCGAUGCAACGCGAAGAACCUUACCUGGUCUUGACAUCCACAGAAGAAUCCAGAGAUGGAUUGGUGCCUUCGGGAACUGUGAGACAGGUGCUGCAUGGCUGUCGUCAGCUCGUGUUGUGAAAUGUUGGGUUAAGUCCCGCAACGAGCGCAACCCUUAUCCUUUGUUGCCAGCGGUUAGGCCGGGAACUCAAAGGAGACUGCCAGUGAUAAACUGGAGGAAGGUGGGGAUGACGUCAAGUCAUCAUGGCCCUUACGACCAGGGCUACACACGUGCUACAAUGGCGCAUACAAAGAGAAGCGACCUCGCGAGAGCAAGCGGACCUCAUAAAGUGCGUCGUAGUCCGGAUUGGAGUCUGCAACUCGACUCCAUGAAGUCGGAAUCGCUAGUAAUCGUGGAUCAGAAUGCCACGGUGAAUACGUUCCCGGGCCUUGUACACACCGCCCGUCACACCAUGGGAGUGGGUUGCAAAAGAAGUAGGUAGCUUAACCUUCGGGAGGGCGCUUACCACUUUGUGAUUCAUGACUGGGGUGAAGUCGUAACAAGGUAACCGUAGGGGAACCUGCGGUUGGAUCACCUCCUUA